UACAGAGGGUGCAAACGUUGCUCGGAAUUACUGGGCGUAAAGCGCACGCAGGUGGCUGAGUCAGUCGAUUGUGAAAGCCCUGGGCUUAACCUGGGAAUUGCAGUCGAUACUACUCAGCUAGAGUAUGGGAGAGGGCAGUGGAAUUCCCGGUGUAGCGGUGAAAUGCGUAGAUAUCGGGAGGAACAUCAGUGGCGAAGGCGGCUGCCUGGCCCAAUACUGACACUCAGGUGCGACAGCGUGGGGAGCAAACAGG
Molecule: ribosomal RNA, 253 nt
Filed under: uncultured bacterium
Lineage: Bacteria
Description: partial 16S ribosomal RNA
Rfam family: Bacterial small subunit ribosomal RNA
Source: RNAcentral